Molecule: transfer RNA, 74 nt
Filed under: Sulfurimonas sp.
Lineage: Bacteria; Pseudomonadati; Campylobacterota; Epsilonproteobacteria; Campylobacterales; Sulfurimonadaceae
Also listed under: 6 other names
Description: tRNA-Cys
Rfam family: tRNA
About the family: Transfer RNA (tRNA) molecules are approximately 80 nucleotides in length.
Source: RNAcentral
GGUGCCAUCGCCAAGUGGUAAGGCCGUAGCCUGCAAAGCUACUAUCCCCAGUUCAAAUCUGGGUGGCACCUCCA